UGGGAGUCUGAACAAUGUAUCAGAACCGAGCCGCUCCUGACAUGGGGAUACACACAGUAGGUGAGCAUGCUCACUGAAGCGGAGGGGCGGAGUUACAGAGCAUUCCGGAAGCAGAGAGGCCGAUGUGCAGAACAUUCCUGCAGGGCGUAGCAGGAUAAAAAAGAAAAACUCUUCAGGAGCAAGAAGGAAAAGAAACAUUCACUGCUAAGAAGGUUCAGAACUGGCCUACUUUGCUCUGGUGAGUGAGAAGAAACUGGGCCGAGGGGGAAAAAAAAAUCAAGAGGCACCAACCUGACACACAAUGGCAACAAUAUGAGGUGGAGAAAGUCCCCCUCCAAGGCUAAGGGUAUUGCUCGGUAGUAGAGAGCUUGCCUGGCAUGUGUGAGGCCCUCAGUUAAUCCCCAGCACAGAAGGAAAAAAAAAAGAAAAUGUGCUGCUGUAACAAAACCAUAAAAGGCUGUAUGAGUUGGAAUCUGGAGGAUCUAAAGAGAAUGAAUAUAGAGCAGCAAUUUUUCUGUGCCAAAGAAUCUUAUGCUGCCCUCUCUCUUCCUCGCUGGAAUUCUCACUCUUCCCAUGUUCAGGAGAAAAGAGCCACCAGUUUGGGAGAGCGUAUCUUGGUGCAGAUAACAGAAGGUGCUUUUGUUAGAUACCAUGGACCCCUCUCCGCUUCCUCUGGAACAAAGCCUUCCGACUGAGUUGCUGGUAAUGCUGAGCAUUUCAACAAAGCAGAAGCAACAUCUCUUGUGAACUUGUUAAAUAAUUAGGAGAUACUGCAAGAACUAUAUGAAAACUAUGUAAAC
Long non-coding RNA from Fukomys damarensis (Damara mole-rat), 800 nucleotides. RefSeq lists it as uncharacterized. Lineage: Eukaryota; Metazoa; Chordata; Mammalia; Rodentia; Bathyergidae. The record is from RefSeq and is a predicted model, not a curated record. The transcript has 6 exons.